UCCGGUUGAUCCUGGCGGAGGUUACUGCUAUCGAGGUUCGACUAAGCCAUGCGAGUCGAAUGUAGCAAUACAUGGUGUACUGCUCAGUAACGCGUGGACAACCUACCCUUAGGUCGGGGAUAAACCCGGGAAACUGGGUAUAAUACCCGAUAGUCCUCGGAUGCUGGAAUGCACCGAGGUCUAAAGCUCCGGCGCCUAAGGAUGGGUCUGCGGCCUAUCAGGUGGUAGUGGGUGUAGCGUACCUACUAGCCUACGACGGGUACGGGUUGUGAGAGCAAGAGCCUGGAGAUGGAUUCUGAGACACGAAUCCAGGCCCUACGGGGUGCAGCAGGCGCGAAAACUUUACAAUGCUGGAAACAGCGAUAAGGGGACCUUGAGUGCCAGGUUACAAAUCUGGCUGUCGUGGUGCCUAAAAAGCAUUGCAUAGCAAGGGCCGGGCAAGACCGGUGCCAGCCGCCGCGGUAACACCGGCGGCUCGAGCGGUAACCGCUGUUAUUGGGUCUAAAGGGUCUGUAGCCGGCCGGAUAAGUCUUUUGGGAAAUCUGGCAGCUUAACUGUCAGGCUUUCAGAGGAUACUGUCUGGCUCGAGGCCGGGAGAGGUGAGAGGUACUUCAGGGGUAGGGGUGAAAUCUUGUAAUCCUUGAAGGACCACCAGUGGCGAAGGCGUCUCACCAGAACGGACCUGACGGCAAGGGAC
RNAcentral lists this ribosomal RNA (697 nucleotides) under uncultured Methanosaeta sp. Its description in RNAcentral is "bacterial SSU rRNA". It matches the Rfam family "Archaeal small subunit ribosomal RNA", at positions 1 to 705 of the family's 1478-position model. Lineage: Archaea; Methanobacteriati; Methanobacteriota; Methanomicrobia; Methanotrichales; Methanotrichaceae. The record is from RNAcentral.